Molecule: long non-coding RNA, 207 nt
Filed under: Gossypium raimondii (Peruvian cotton)
Lineage: Eukaryota; Viridiplantae; Streptophyta; Magnoliopsida; Malvales; Malvaceae
Description: long non-coding RNA (GRAI_LNC009565)
Source: RNAcentral
GAACAAAAGAGCGAAGAACAUAAAAGGAAGAAAAGAAGAAAAAAAAUCUAUUCACCUUUCAAUUUUUCUGAAUAUUUAGUUUUUUCUUUUUGUAUUCAAUCUCUGUGAAUGUGUACCUUGUUUACAAAAUUCAAAUGGCCUUCUUAUAGCCCGAUUUACAAAAAAAAAAUAGAAUAAUAAAAAUAAAAUAAAUAAAAAAAGGUUCAC